CUAAUUUGCUGGCCUGGACAAGAGGAAGAGGAUUCGGACUCUGAAUAUCCCCUAGCAACCAAAUGCUGCAUCUCUGGAUUCCUCCGUCAGUUCAUUGAAACUGCAUCACCUGCUGAGGUCAAGAACCUGCUAAAAUUCUGGACAGGUUGGGAGGUUUUACCCCGAGAGCUCACCUUUAAAAUUGUUAAAGGAAACCUUCCAACAGCUUCUACCUGCUUUGAGGUGCUCAAGAUCCCUGGACAUUACAAGGACUUUGAAUCUUUUCGGAUUGAUUUGCUGGCAUGCAUUUGUACACAUCACACAGGGUUUGGGCUCAUUUAGGUUAGAUAAUACUUUUCCUUCUUUAAGGAAUGUGGCAGUUUGCCUUCUGUGAAUGUUAAAACUACUGCUUUUUACAGCUAGAGCAUAAAGCACUGUUUUAAAAACAGCUGAAGAAGUGUUCGUUGUAGGUGCACUGUAUGUUCCCCAGUUAGCCUGUCCAAGUUCAAAGGGUCCAUUGUUAAAACUAAAAGAUAUAGAAUUUCUGAAAUGUAGAUUCAGUUUUAAAUGUUUCAUGUUCAGCUGGCUCAGUGUUUAAGCUCAGCAAAGGGACAAUUGUUGAAAGUAGCUGUUGGUGUAAGAUCUAUUUGCAAUCAGUUUUAAAUGUUUUACGUUAGCCCACUCUAUAGCUGGCAAAGUGUUUUAGCUCCUCAAAGGGACAAGGGAAAGUAGAUUGCUGUUAGUGUAAGAUGAAUUUGCAAGACUUCUGAAAUGUAAGUUCAGUUUUAAAUAUCUUGACAUUUUAGCACAGUUUUAAUAUUUUAUAAGCUGGUUCAUUUUUCCACGUACAUUGUUUUAUCUACUCUACAACUAGCAAUGGGCUUUGAAGUUUAUAUGUCCGAAGUUUGCUAAAAAGCCACUUAUGUUUAAUUACAUUUACAUGUAAUCCUUUUCAAUAAACCUGAAUGAACAUUCAUACGAGUGUGAAUUCGAUAUACCUUA
Molecule: long non-coding RNA, 981 nt
Organism: Astyanax mexicanus (Mexican tetra)
Lineage: Eukaryota; Metazoa; Chordata; Actinopteri; Characiformes; Acestrorhamphidae
Exons: 2
Source: RefSeq, a predicted model, not a curated record